UGGGGAAUAUUGCACAAUGGGGGAAACCCUGAUGCAGCGACGCCGCGUGAGCGAAGAAGGUUUUCGAAUCGUAAAGCUCUGUCCUAUGAGAAGAUAAUGACGGUAUCAUAGGAGGAAGCCCCGGCUAAAUACGUGCCAGCAGCCGCGGUAAUACGUAUGGGGCGAGCGUUGUCCGGAAUUAUUGGGCGUAAAGGGUACGUAGGCGGUCUAUUAAGUCAGGUGUGAAAGCGUGAGGCUUAACCUCAUUAAGCACUUGAAACUGAUAGACUUGAGUGAAGGAGAGGAAAGUGGAAUUCCUAGUGUAGCGGUGAAAUGCGUAGAUAUUAGGAGGAAUACCGGUGGCGAAGGCGACUUUCUGGACUUUUACUGACGCUUAGGUACGAAAGCGUGGGGAGCAAACAGG
RNAcentral lists this ribosomal RNA (403 nucleotides) under Verrucomicrobiota bacterium. RNAcentral describes it as "Verrucomicrobia bacterium partial 16S ribosomal RNA". It matches the Rfam family "Bacterial small subunit ribosomal RNA", at positions 355 to 776 of the family's 1533-position model. Lineage: Bacteria; Pseudomonadati; Verrucomicrobiota. The record is from RNAcentral.